GGAAACCAAGUUUUUCGGCCGUCUGCGUUUGCUCGGUCUUAAAGAGACCUCAUUAGAAGAGCCAGAUGGCGACGAAAAUGAGGACGUGGUUGUCGUAUUAAUUGAUACGCCUUUUGACAGACAACUUGUGGCUGGAGUCGUUUACCUGUGGUGGGAAGUACUGACCUCAGUCGUUGACUCAUUAGCAGCUGGGCUGGUGACUUCAGGCCGUCGACUGGAGUGUUGAGGUACUCCAGCAAGCUGAGCAGCACUGGGUGGACACUUCUUUCUUGAUUCAGGCCAG
Long non-coding RNA from Lampris incognitus (smalleye Pacific opah), 283 nucleotides. RefSeq lists it as uncharacterized. The transcript is spliced from 3 exons. NCBI's taxonomy places the organism in Eukaryota, Metazoa, Chordata, Actinopteri, Lampriformes, Lampridae. The record is from RefSeq and is a predicted model, not a curated record.